This 87-nucleotide transfer RNA is filed under the name Patescibacteria group bacterium. RNAcentral describes it as "tRNA-Ser". It matches the Rfam family "tRNA". From Rfam's summary of the family: Transfer RNA (tRNA) molecules are approximately 80 nucleotides in length. Their secondary structure includes four short double-helical elements and three loops (D, anti-codon, and T loops). The record is from RNAcentral.
GGAGAGAUGCCUGAGUGGCUGAAAGGGAUGCUUUCGAAAAGCAUUGUAUGGGCAACCAUACCGGGGGUUCGAAUCCCUCUCUCUCCG